GCCGGUAUAGCUCAGCUGGUAGAGCAACUGACUUGUAAUCAGUAGGUCCCGGGUUCGACUCCUGGUGCUGGCACCA
Molecule: transfer RNA, 76 nt
Filed under: Pseudomonas aeruginosa
Lineage: Bacteria; Pseudomonadati; Pseudomonadota; Gammaproteobacteria; Pseudomonadales; Pseudomonadaceae
Description: tRNA-Thr
Rfam family: tRNA
About the family: Transfer RNA (tRNA) molecules are approximately 80 nucleotides in length.
Source: RNAcentral